RNAcentral lists this ribosomal RNA (459 nucleotides) under uncultured bacterium. RNAcentral describes it as "bacterial SSU rRNA". It matches the Rfam family "Bacterial small subunit ribosomal RNA", at positions 341 to 793 of the family's 1533-position model. The record is from RNAcentral.
UCGGGAGGCAGCAGUGGGGAAUAUUGCACAAUGGGCGCAAGCCUGAUGCAGCCAUGCCGCGUGUAUGAAGAAGGCCUUCGGGUUGUAAAGUACUUUCAGCAGUGAGGAAGGUGGGUAUGUUAAUAGCAUACUCAUUUGACGUUAGCUGCAGAAGAAGCACCGGCUAACUCCGUGCCAGCAGCCGCGGUAAUACGGAGGGUGCGAGCGUUAAUCGGAAUUACUGGGCGUAAAGCGCAUGCAGGUGGUUUGUUAAGUCAGAUGUGAAAGCCCGGGGCUCAACCUCGGAAUUGCAUUUGAAACUGGCAAACUAGAGUACUGUAGAGGGGGUAGAAUUUCAGGUGUAGCGGUGAAAUGCGUAGAGAUCUGAAGGAAUACCGGUGGCGAAGGCGGCCCCCUGGACAGAUACUGACACUCAGAUGCGAAAGCGUGGGGAGCAAACAGGAUUAGAUACCCUGGUAG